GCCGGGAUGGCGGAAUUGGUAGACGCAGCGGACUCAAAAUCCGCCGCCGCGAGGUGUGGGGGUUCGAGUCCCCCUCCCGGCACCA
This 85-nucleotide transfer RNA is filed under the name Betaproteobacteria bacterium HGW-Betaproteobacteria-1. Its description in RNAcentral is "tRNA-Leu". It matches the Rfam family "tRNA". From Rfam's summary of the family: Transfer RNA (tRNA) molecules are approximately 80 nucleotides in length. Their secondary structure includes four short double-helical elements and three loops (D, anti-codon, and T loops). Further hydrogen bonds mediate the characteristic L-shaped molecular structure. tRNAs have two regions of fundamental functional importance: the anti-codon, which is responsible for specific mRNA codon recognition, and the 3' end, to which the tRNAs corresponding amino acid is attached (by aminoacyl-tRNA synthetases). tRNAs cope with the degeneracy of the genetic code in two manners: having more than one tRNA (with a specific anti-codon) for a particular amino acid; and 'wobble' base-pairing, i.e. permitting non-standard base-pairing at the 3rd anti-codon position. Lineage: Bacteria; Pseudomonadati; Pseudomonadota; Betaproteobacteria. The record is from RNAcentral. RNAcentral also lists the same sequence under 4 other names.